GUAAGGAAUAUUGGUCAAUGGGGGCAACCCUGAACCAGCCAUGCCGCGUGUGUGAAGAAGGCCUUUUGGUUGUAAAGCACUUUAAGCGAGGAGGAGGCUCUUAAGGUUAAUACCCUUGAUGAGUGGACGUUACUCGCAGAAUAAGCACCGGCUAACUCCGUGCCAGCAGCCGCGGUAAUACGGAGGGUGCGAGCGUUGUCCGGAUUUAUUGGGUUUAAAGGGUGCGUAGGCUGGAAGGUCAGUCAGCGGUGAAAAGCUGUCGCUUAACGAUAGUCUUGCCGCAGAUACUUCCUUUCUUGGAUGAGGAGGAGGCCACUGGAACGGAUGGUGUAGCGGUGAAAUGCAUAGAUAUCAUCCAGAACACCGAUUGCGAAGGCAGGUGGCUGUACCUUAAUCGACGCUGAUGCACGAAAGCAUGGGGAGCAAACAGGAUUAGAAACCCCUGUAGUCC
Molecule: ribosomal RNA, 451 nt
Filed under: uncultured bacterium
Lineage: Bacteria
Description: partial 16S ribosomal RNA
Rfam family: Bacterial small subunit ribosomal RNA
Source: RNAcentral